ACGGGAGGCAGCAGUGUGGAAUAUUGGUCAAUGGAGGCAACUCUGAACCAGCCAUCUCGCGUGAAGGAAUACGGCCCUACGGGUCUUAAACUUCUUUUAUAGGGGGAUAAAGUGAGGCAUGCAUGCCUUUUUGUAGGUACCCUAUGAAUAAGCAUCGGCUAACUCCGUGCCAGCAGCCGCGGUAAUACGGAGGAUGCGAGCGUUAUCCGGAUUUAUUGGGUUUAAAGGGUGCGCAGGCGGCACGUUAAGUCAGCGGUGAAAUGUCGGGGCUCAACCCCGGCACUGCCGUUGAAACUGGCGAGCUUGAGUACGGAUGAAGUCGGCGGAAUGUGAUGUGUAGCGGUGAAAUGCUUAGAUAUGACGAAGAACUCCGAUUGGGAAGCCAGCUUACUGUAGCGCCACUGACGCUGAUGCUCGAAAGCGUGGGUAUCGAACAGGAUUAGAUACCCUGGUA
RNAcentral lists this ribosomal RNA (454 nucleotides) under uncultured Porphyromonas sp. Its description in RNAcentral is "partial 16S ribosomal RNA". It matches the Rfam family "Bacterial small subunit ribosomal RNA", at positions 341 to 792 of the family's 1533-position model. The record is from RNAcentral. Lineage: Bacteria; Pseudomonadati; Bacteroidota; Bacteroidia; Bacteroidales; Porphyromonadaceae.